Molecule: small nucleolar RNA, 79 nt
Filed under: Salix viminalis (osier)
Lineage: Eukaryota; Viridiplantae; Streptophyta; Magnoliopsida; Malpighiales; Salicaceae
Also listed under: 2 other names
Rfam family: Small nucleolar RNA Z122
About the family: Z122 is a member of the C/D class of snoRNA which contain the C (UGAUGA) and D (CUGA) box motifs. Most of the members of the box C/D family function in directing site-specific 2'-O-methylation of substrate RNAs.
Source: RNAcentral
GUUCGGGUAUGAUGACUAAACAAAUUGUCAGAGGCUACAGCAUUGCUGAAGUUAUUUUGCACGUCAGUCUGAUCCGAAU